This 451-nucleotide ribosomal RNA is filed under the name Salmonella enterica. RNAcentral describes it as "bacterial SSU rRNA". It matches the Rfam family "Bacterial small subunit ribosomal RNA", at positions 1 to 448 of the family's 1533-position model. Lineage: Bacteria; Pseudomonadati; Pseudomonadota; Gammaproteobacteria; Enterobacterales; Enterobacteriaceae. RNAcentral also lists the same sequence under 1 other name. The record is from RNAcentral.
AAAUUGAAGAGUUUGAUCAUGGCUCAGAUUGAACGCUGGCGGCAGGCCUAACACAUGCAAGUCGAACGGUAACAGGAAGCAGCUUGCUGCUUCGCUGACGAGUGGCGGACGGGUGAGUAAUGUCUGGGAAACUGCCUGAUGGAGGGGGAUAACUACUGGAAACGGUGGCUAAUACCGCAUAACGUCGCAAGACCAAAGAGGGGGACCUUCGGGCCUCUUGCCAUCAGAUGUGCCCAGAUGGGAUUAGCUAGUUGGUGAGGUAACGGCUCACCAAGGCGACGAUCCCUAGCUGGUCUGAGAGGAUGACCAGCCACACUGGAACUGAGACACGGUCCAGACUCCUACGGGAGGCAGCAGUGGGGAAUAUUGCACAAUGGGCGCAAGCCUGAUGCAGCCAUGCCGCGUGUAUGAAGAAGGCCUUCGGGUUGUAAAGUACUUUCAGCGGGGAGGA